This 608-nucleotide long non-coding RNA is filed under the name Pongo abelii (Sumatran orangutan). RNAcentral describes it as "lincRNA". Lineage: Eukaryota; Metazoa; Chordata; Mammalia; Primates; Hominidae. The record is from RNAcentral.
GAAGUUACACAAGUUGUUUGUAGAAAAUAUGGAAAAUACCAAGAAGCAGGAAGGGGAAUCGGAAUCCCUGAAAUACAACGUGGAGACGGUGUAACUUUGCCUCCUGUUUUCUGUCUCGUUCCUGCUGAGUGUGAGAGGCACUAAGCCUCCAGGCAUCCAGCAACCCUCAGCCGCGUAUCGCACAAAUCCCGGGUUUCGGACGAGUGUGAAGCUUACGGAAAAGCCAGGUGGGUUCUCCAAGGUGGAGCCGCAGGUGGACAGCAGAGCGUGGGUGACCAGGGUCAGCAUGCGGUGAUGCGCAGUUUUGUCCCGCCUUUCACCUGAGCUCCCGAGCGGUGCCCGGUGCAGAAACAGUCUUCAGAGACCCCCUAGUGGCCGCGUGUACCACGUGGUUGAACCCCGAAGAAGGCUGAACUCCAUCCAACCCCCUGAGGCUGGACAUCUCCACGGUCCCCAGUUUUUCAGUAUUGUGGAUAGUUUUCCAGCCUCUCCAGGGCAGAGGCUGUGUCUGGUGCAUGUUCAGGCACUGCAGCGACUGGCACACGGCACUGGGUAGGUGCUUAGCACAACAUGUGAACAAAUAUUUAUUGAACUUCAUAAAGGUAAAC